UGGGGAAUAUUGGAAAAUGGGCGAAAGCCUGAUCCAGCCAUGCCGCGUGUGUGAAGAAGGUCUUCGGAUUGUAAAGCACUUUAAGUUGGGAGGAAGGGCAUUAACCUAAUACGUUAGUGUUUUGACGUUACCGACAGAAUAUGCACCGGCUAACUCUGUGCCAGCAGCCGCGGUAAUACAGAGGGUGCAAGCGUUAAUCGGAAUUACUGGGCGUAAAGCGCGCGUAGGUGGUUUGUUAAGUUGGAUGUGAAAUCCCCGGGCUCAACCUGGGAACUGCAUUCAAAACUGACUGACUAGAGUAUGGUAGAGGGUGGUGGAAUUUCCUGUGUAGCGGUGAAAUGCGUAGAUAUAGGAAGGAACACCAGUGGCGAAGGCGACCACCUGGACUAAUACUGACACUGAGGUGCGAAAGCGUGGGGAGCAAACA
Molecule: ribosomal RNA, 427 nt
Filed under: uncultured bacterium
Lineage: Bacteria
Description: partial 16S ribosomal RNA
Rfam family: Bacterial small subunit ribosomal RNA
Source: RNAcentral